Sparus aurata (gilthead seabream) is the source of this 2733-nucleotide long non-coding RNA. The record is from Ensembl. NCBI's taxonomy places the organism in Eukaryota, Metazoa, Chordata, Actinopteri, Spariformes, Sparidae.
CAGGAAGAUGCUAACUUCCGGGUAAACCGAUCCAACCCGCCACCACGCAUGCGCACCGUGUCGGACUGGGCUCGUUGGACGCCAACAGAUUGAGGCGUCGGCUGUGUCUCGCGAUCUUUAAUCUGUAAAGAUUUAAUCUAUAAUCUAUAACCACACGGACACUUUUCGUCAGUUAGCCGACAUGAAGUGUCACUUUCCUUCCAACAUGUCGACCUGCCGCUCGCGUCGCUGCCGGUUCUGGACGUUUUCAAACGGAUUCAUGUCGCAGAAGUUCGGCUGGAAAGCGAGAAAAGUGAGACUUCGCCUCUCGGACUCGGACACUCGGUCUGUUCCGUGAAGAUUAGGUUUUUUUCACGUAGUUUUGGAAGCUGCGUUCAGGUGUGUGUGUGUGUGUGUUUCUGCCUCGGGGGUUAAAACGUCUUUCGGAGCUGAACCCGUCAGUUAACCGCGGAGGAGCGACCCGGUCACUUCCGGUGAGCAGGUGACUCUUCUCCCUCUGCGGGGUAUAACAACCAGGUGUGUCUGCUGUUCAUUCACAGACUGACAGGCAGCUCUCUCCAUCCCGGAAUGGACUGCUACAACUCUUCCGAUCCAGCUGCAGUGAACGCCACCAUAGUGUACGACUACAAUGACCACCAGGGAGAUUUGUGGAGCAGAAAUAUUGAGGAUGUUCAGGAUCAGCCUCUCCUCCACUGUUCCUCGACCUCCCUCCCUCUUGAGACGCAGUGCACCGUCUGUCUCAACCAGAUCGUGUACGCCGUCUGCCACAAACUGAAAGACGGUGUGGUUCUGACGAUGGAGGCUCUAGAACGCCACAUCAAAAUCUCCAAGAGCGACUGCCCCAAACUUCUCUCUGACGCUCCUCCACAGUGGCCUCUGGUCCUCCUCGUCGCCCUCCUCGUGCUGGUCCUCCUCAUCUUUGCGGUGUGUUUCUAUCAGAGACAGAAAAGGUACGUGUAGCUGUAGUUUAUUGGUAUUUGAAUAUGAGACUGUAACGAAUACAGCAGAAAGGAAAUACGGGUUAAAUCAGGAUGAGCUGAGAACUUAUUUAUCAGCAGCCGAGGAAGAAGUAUUAUACUUAUUAAUGAGUUUAUCAUUAAGAUACGUUGUGUUGUUGUUCCGUUUGUUUGCUUGAUGAAUUAACUCAUGAAUGAACCCGUCCUGUGUUCACAGACAGAGAACCCGGACGCCUCAGAAAGCCGGGUCACGUUCCCUCACUGACGUGCAGCAAGAAGCUCCGCUGACGGCCACAUCUUAACUUCUCUAAAGUUGAUAAGAUGAUGAAAUAAAAUCACAAACAGAUGUAAAUAAACUUUUUAAUUGUCAAUCCAAAAAGUGAACUGUGAGCUCGUGUGAUAUCUUCCAGAUCUGCAGUCGCUGAUAAAAUCUUUCUUCCUUUUUCUUUGACAAACACAUCGUCACCUUUUACCGAGUUAAUGCAGUUCAUAGGAAACAAAUCAGGAACUAAAUGUACAGAGAGUCUACUGACGUCCCAACGCUGUCCUCAUCCAUUCACUCUUUAAUGCGGCCAGACCCAGUUUGUGACAAACUGAGACUGAUAUGACUUGAACAUUUUCUGUCUCUCUCCAACACAGUUUUCUGACAUAGAGAGCUGAAGCCCCGCCCCUUCCUGUUCCCCUCCUGGUACCUUAUGGUUUGAAUUGUGUUAUGAAUCACACACGAUAAAAUAUGAAACUGAAAAUACGUGGUUAUAACAGCAUCACAGCUGACAGCUGUUGCAGUUGUCAAUAUGAGCAGAUUUAUCGUGACAUCCAUCUUUUUUGGAACCUUUUCUGGCCCAGUUGGCUCCAUGAUGAGACGGUGUAGUUCAGAGCUUUAACACAAAACUACAUGAGGUUUGACUGUAACUCCAUCAUGUGUGAUAUUCAUGACCCAGUUCAGACCGGAUCAGUACUUUGUCAUCUCUCUUCAGUCACUACAGACAAUGAUUUUCCAAAAUAGGUCCAGUGGGUUUCACGGGACAGGACGAGACUUUGGCUCUCUAUUCUGACUCUUCAGUAACUGUCCCACCAUUUUACACAGUCAAAGGGGACGACUCAUACUUUGCUACCGGAAGUUUGAAGUUUGCAAACACAAUAAACGAUGUUUGCUUUAUUGAAAGUUUCAACCACAAUGUCUCACUUUGUGUCGUUCGGGUCUUUCCAUCUGUAGCUACGUAACUUCUUUCGCCCCUCAGCGAGGAUCAGACAGCUGAAUGAAAUGUGUCAGGAGAGGGUUGACAUCUUCACAGCUGCAGGGGUCAGACACUUCUUCCUCCCGCAGCUUCCUUGGUAGUCUUUCACAUUUCGAGUCAAGAGUGAGACACCAAGAUGAUGAUGAUGAUGAUGAUGAUGAUGAUGAUGAUUACAAUAAAAAGAGGUGACAAUGAGCGAUCAGCAGUGUCAUGUAGAAGAAACCACAGCGAGGAGGUGACUUCUGAGGUGAGAACAGGAAAUGGCAAAGUUUUUUUUUUCUUUUUUUCUCACUUUGCUUGGGUAUUUCUAUGUUCUUUUACUUUUUACUUCCAUGAAAAUGCAAAAUAUUGGUUGUGAUAAUAACACUCAGUAUAAAGUAGAUACUCUGAUCUUCACUUUGACCAAAGUAAUAUCUUAACACGACAUCUUUACAUUCACUCACGUAUGACUUUAUGACUGAAAUCUGUGGUGGAAUAAAAACAAUUACAUUUGCUUCAGUAUAAUUUUGGAAUAUUACAGUAGUCGAGUAUUUAUGAUU